RNAcentral lists this small RNA (204 nucleotides) under Pongo abelii (Sumatran orangutan). Its description in RNAcentral is "processed transcript". Lineage: Eukaryota; Metazoa; Chordata; Mammalia; Primates; Hominidae. The record is from RNAcentral.
AUUGUGUUCACCUAUUGAAAAUUAAAAAUACAUUUUGUUUAUGUAAAAGAUCAAUAGAACUUAAAGAUAAUCACUGUGAGCAACUUAGAGUAAAAAUUCAAAAAAUGAAAAAUAAGGCUAGUGUACUACAAAAGAGACUACCUGAAAAAGAAGAAAUAAAAUCGCAGUUAGAGCAUGAAACACUUGAAUUGGAAAAAGAACUCC